AGAUAGGUGAUUAGGGAGGAGGAUAUCUAGAAACAGAUAAAUAAAACCCAUUAACAGUCGUGCAAUGUGCGCCCUCCCGCGACGUCCACGUCGGACUAGCUACCAAACAAAAAAAGUUUGUUUUGUUGAGAAGAAACAGAGAAAGAGAUUGGGAGCCUCCUCUCUCCGCAGGCAAGCCUCCUCUCCCGUGAGCCCUCUCUUGACCCGCGACUCCUCGCCGCCGCCGCCACUCACGCCGGCCGAUUCCGGCGAGUCCCGACGGCAGGUGGCAGACUGACGACCUCCCCUUUCUCUGCUCCUUCCUCCCAUCCCUCCAGAUCCGGCCUCCCGUGCUCGCUGCCGACCCUCAGCCAUUGCUAGGGUUUCGGGCGCGGCGUCCCCUCCAUCGCCACUACCCCUCCCCUCCAGUCGACGCUGAGCGUGCACAACGUGGACGAGCUGAUCGCGACGGAACCAGAGUCGCUCCAGGCCGGGGUCUGAGAUGAUGUCCAGCAGGCCGAGGGGUGGCCAUGGGAGGAGCAUCCCACAAUGAAAUCCAUUUUCUCUUUGUGUGUGUGUGUUGGAUUAGGAUUUGGAUCGAGGAAGGAGAGAUGGUGUGGGGAUGAGACGGUGGACAGAGGAAGAGGGCGGAUCUGGAUCCAGGUAGAGUGGCCAGAGGAGCAGGCCACCAUCCCUCUUUACCUUCCACCCAACACCAACGUGGUUGUUGACUGCAGAAUCUGUGGUGAUCUACACUCUGUUGGUUCUUUCAUUCAGAGGGUGCUAGAGCUGCACUUAACUUGCUAGCAUCAUCGCCUUGUUCUUCCUGGCAACGUAAGGACCACCAACUUCCAUUUGCAACUCUAGCACAAGAGUGAGGAUGGUGAGCCACAACACCACAAGGUUCUACAAAUGGUUCUCAGAGGUUUGACGGCGAUAACAUCGCGCAGUCGAGCAAGUUUUGGUCAAUGUUUCAUGGCUCAAUCAACGAAUGGUGUUAAAACAGAAAAUCUUGAAAGCAAGAUCUUAAAUGAUUCCUACCUCGAGCUUCCAUCGAACACGACUUCGGUUGUUUCUUGGUUGUUCAAGUAUGCUCGAUGGUUCUUCAUCGAGGGUUGAGAUGGACCAUGCACUGGUUACAUCUUCUCCUAUCUCUCCAUGUUCUUAAUUUUCUUAUGCAAUGAGUGCUGGAUUUAGACAACAGUUUGCGCAAUCCAUGCUUUUACAUUGAAAAUGAGAAGAUGAAAUGACGGGUUUGGACA
Molecule: long non-coding RNA, 1241 nt
Organism: Triticum dicoccoides
Lineage: Eukaryota; Viridiplantae; Streptophyta; Magnoliopsida; Poales; Poaceae
Exons: 6
Source: RefSeq, a predicted model, not a curated record